UGGAGCUGCAGCGCGCCGGGGGCAGCCGCGGCCGCCACGCCGAGCCCGGCAGGAUCUGUUGAAUACACGACUGUUGAUGUUGCUGCCCCAAAAAGUGGGGGAAGUGCUGCAAAUUAUGGAAAGAGAUUUCCUACUCAAAACAAUGGGAUUCUCUCAUUGUGGAAUAAUCUCUGCAAGCGUUGUGGACUCUCCAUACCAUGGACACGUGGAGCCAUAUCUCUGCCAAAUGCACCUGUAUCAGUGUUGGACUGGAUAUGCCUUGAAAUGGUGAAAAUAGAUCUCCAAAAAUCUCUUUAAGUAGUGAGAACUAUGAAAGAAUUGAACCUGAUUUGCCGGAAAAUCACUGCAGCUUCUCAUAUAGUUGGUUUUAUUGUUUUGUUUUAAUUAUUAUUUUUAAUAACCUGGAAGGUUUGGAUAAAAAGCUCUUGCACAAUGAAAAGCUCUUGCACUGUUUUUUACCAAGGUCUGGAAGUCAAACUUACUGUGAAUUUUUAUAAUGCCAGUGCAAUACUUUUGUUUGUAAGGGUGUUUUUAAAAUGUCUAUAUUAAACUGUUGACUCAUAGCUGCAAAUGUAGAAGUUGAUCAUAGUGUAAAUACACAAUUUACAGUGUCUCUUGUAAA
Non-coding RNA from Sturnus vulgaris (Common starling), 622 nucleotides. The record is from RefSeq and is a predicted model, not a curated record. Lineage: Eukaryota; Metazoa; Chordata; Aves; Passeriformes; Sturnidae.